RNAcentral lists this ribosomal RNA (1251 nucleotides) under metagenome. RNAcentral describes it as "bacterial SSU rRNA". It matches the Rfam family "Bacterial small subunit ribosomal RNA", at positions 8 to 1251 of the family's 1533-position model. The record is from RNAcentral.
AGAGUUUGAUCCUGGCUCAGGAUGAACGCUAGCUACAGGCUUAACACAUGCAAGUCGAGGGGAAACGAUAUUGGAAGCUUGCUUCCGAUAGGCGUCGACCGGCGCACGGGUGAGUAACGCGUAUCCAACCUGCCCACCACUUGGGGAUAACCUUGCGAAAGUAAGACUAAUACCCAAUGAUAUCUCUAGAAGACAUCUGAAAGAGAUUAAAGAUUUAUCGGUGAUGGAUGGGGAUGCGUCUGAUUAGCUUGUUGGCGGGGUAACGGCCCACCAAGGCAACGAUCAGUAGGGGUUCUGAGAGGAAGGUCCCCCACAUUGGAACUGAGACACGGUCCAAACUCCUACGGGAGGCAGCAGUGAGGAAUAUUGGUCAAUGGACGAGAGUCUGAACCAGCCAAGUAGCGUGCAGGAAGACGGCCCUAUGGGUUGUAAACUGCUUUAUAAGGGAAUAAAGUGAGAGUCGUGACUCUUUUUGCAUGUACCUUAUGAAUAAGGACCGGCUAAUUCCGUGCCAGCAGCCGCGGUAAUACGGAAGGUCCGGGCGUUAUCCGGAUUUAUUGGGUUUAAAGGGAGCGUAGGCCGGAGAUUAAGCGUGUUGUGAAAUGUAGACGCUCAACGUCUGCACUGCAGCGCGAACUGGUUUCCUUGAGUACGCACAAAGUGGGCGGAAUUCGUGGUGUAGCGGUGAAAUGCUUAGAUAUCGCGAAGAACUCCGAUUGCGAAGGCAGCUCACUGGAGCGCAACUGACGCUGAAGCUCGAAAGUGCGGGUAUCGAACAGGAUUAGAUACCCUGGUAGUCCGCACGGUAAACGAUGGAUGCCCGCUGUUGGUCUGAAUAGGUCAGCGGCCAAGCGAAAGCAUUAAGCAUCCCACCUGGGGAGUACGCCGGCAACGGUGAAACUCAAAGGAAUUGACGGGGGCCCGCACAAGCGGAGGAACAUGUGGUUUAAUUCGAUGAUACGCGAGGAACCUUACCCGGGCUUGAAUUGCAGAGGAAGGAUUUGGAGACAAUGACGCCCUUCGGGGCCUCUGUGAAGGUGCUGCAUGGUUGUCGUCAGCUCGUGCCGUGAGGUGUCGGCUUAAGUGCCAUAACGAGCGCAACCCCUCUCCUUAGUUGCCAUCAGGUUAAGCUGGGCACUCUGGGGACACUGCCACCGUAAGGUGUGAGGAAGGUGGGGAUGACGUCAAAUCAGCACGGCCCUUACGUCCGGGGCUACACACGUGUUACAAUGGCAGGUACAGAGAGACGGU